This is a non-coding RNA of Pelobates cultripes (western spadefoot toad), 211 nucleotides long. The record is from the annotation of a GenBank genome assembly. NCBI's taxonomy places the organism in Eukaryota, Metazoa, Chordata, Amphibia, Anura, Pelobatidae.
GCUAGGGGAAGGCAUUCAGUCCAGGGCUUCCCUGUGUCUUGCAUGGCUUUUGCAAUCUUGUUCUUUAAGGUGCCAUUUGCCCUUUCUACUUUCCCACUACUCUGGGGGUGAUAUGGGGUGUGGAAGGCCUGACUGAUCCCUAAGGCUUUCAUAAUUUCUUGCAUUAUUUCCCCAGUGAAAUGGCUACCUCUGUCACUUUCAAUCACUUCAG